GACGAGCGCUGGCGGCGUGCUUAACACAUGCAAGUCGAACGGAAAGGCCCUGCUUUUGUGGGGUGCUCGAUUGGCGAACGGGUGAGUAACACGUGAGUAACCUGCCCUUGACUUUGUGAUAACUUCAGGAAACUGGGGCUAAUACCGGAUAGGAGCUCCUGCUGCAUGGUGGGGGUUGGAAAGUUUCGGCGGUUGGGGAUGGACUCGCGGCUUAUCAGCUUGUUGGUGGGGUAGUGGCUUACCAAGGCUUUGACGGGUAGCCGGCCUGAGAGGGUGACCGGCCACAAUGGGACUGAGAUACGGACCAGACGCCUACGGGAGGCAGCAGUGGGGAAUAUUGCACAAUGGGCGGAAGCCUGAUGCAGCAACGCCGCGUGCGGGAUGACGGCCUUCGGGUUGUAAACCGCUUUCGCCUGUGACGAAGCGUGAGUGACGGUAAUGGGUAAAGAAGCACCGGCUAACUACGUG
This 468-nucleotide ribosomal RNA is filed under the name uncultured bacterium. Its description in RNAcentral is "partial 16S ribosomal RNA". It matches the Rfam family "Bacterial small subunit ribosomal RNA", at positions 28 to 507 of the family's 1533-position model. The record is from RNAcentral.